UUUCCGUAGGUGAACCUGCGGAAGGAUCAUUAUUGGAUGUUGAAACUUCAGGCUGCUGCUGGCUCUCCUCGGAGGGCAUGUGCACGCUUGUUGUCCAUUAUUUCUCCCACUGUGCACAAAUUGUAGACCUUUCAGAAGGCCUAUGUUGUUUUUCACAAUCUCUGAAUGUAAUAGAAUGGUUUUGAAUCUUGGGAAAUACAAUACAACUUUCAGCAACGGAUCUCUUGGCUCUC
RNAcentral lists this unclassified non-coding RNA (233 nucleotides) under plant metagenome. RNAcentral describes it as "partial contains small subunit ribosomal RNA, internal transcribed spacer 1, and 5.8S ribosomal RNA". The record is from RNAcentral.